AGUUCCAUAGCUCAGUGAUCAGAGCGCCUGAUAUGUUAAUCAGGAGGUCCUUGGUUUGAAUCCGAGUGGAACUA
RNAcentral lists this transfer RNA (74 nucleotides) under virus sp. ctBM815. Its description in RNAcentral is "tRNA-OTHER". The record is from RNAcentral.